GAUUUGGCAGAUUCAACAACUGUCUUUUUGCUCUUCUCCAAGUUAGGAACAAGUACAAGAACAGGAUUGGCGAUGAAUCUUAUGAGGAGGCGAGGAUUGAAGAAGAGAGGCUUUUUGAGUCUCAUCUAAUGCUUUCAAAGAUUGACAAAUCCAUUGUUGGUGUUCCUGUUCUGGCACAGAGGCUAGUUCAAGUUCAAGGCAUGAUCAUAUCCAAAACUCUGCCCGAAAUUGUGAAGAAAAUCAAUGAGAAGCUGACUUACAAUUUAUCUGAGUUGGAUAAGUUGCCUGUGAAUCUGACUUGUGUUGCUGAUGCUAUGACUGCAUUUUUGAAUUUGAUAUGACAUUUGGUCCUCGUAAUUGCAAAAGGCUAUUAGGUGCUAAGUCACCUUUUUCUCAACAAAACUUACAAAGGGAUGUCAUUGAUCGUGAUGAGGAGACAGC
This is a long non-coding RNA of Arachis duranensis, 441 nucleotides long. RefSeq lists it as uncharacterized. The record is from RefSeq and is a predicted model, not a curated record. The transcript has 3 exons. NCBI's taxonomy places the organism in Eukaryota, Viridiplantae, Streptophyta, Magnoliopsida, Fabales, Fabaceae.